CAAUAGCGUAUAUUAAAGUUGUUGCAGUUAAAAAGCUCGUAGUUGGAUUUCUGGUUGAAGCGACCGGUCGGGCGUUGAUUCGUCUGCACUGGAGUCGGUUUUGGCCAUCCUCUAGGAAAGUGCGUCUGGUAUUAAGUUAUCGGGCGUAUGAUCCUGGUCUUUUACUGUGAAAAAAUUAGAGUGUUUAAAGCAGGCCUUCGCCUUGAAUACAUUAGCAUGGAAUAAUAAGAUAGGACUUUGGUCUAUUUUGUAGGUUUGCAGACCGAAGUAAUGAUUAAUAGGGAUAGUUGGGGGUAUUUAUAUUCCGAUGUCAGAGGUGAAAUUCUUAGAUUUUCGGAAGAUAAACUUAUGCGAAAGCAUUUACCAAGGAUGUUUUCAUUAA
Molecule: ribosomal RNA, 382 nt
Filed under: uncultured eukaryote
Lineage: Eukaryota
Description: partial 18S ribosomal RNA
Rfam family: Eukaryotic small subunit ribosomal RNA
Source: RNAcentral